Molecule: ribosomal RNA, 253 nt
Filed under: uncultured bacterium
Lineage: Bacteria
Description: partial 16S ribosomal RNA
Rfam family: Bacterial small subunit ribosomal RNA
Source: RNAcentral
UACGUAGGGGGCUAGCGUUGUCCGGAAUCAUUGGGCGUAAAGCGCGCGUAGGCGGCCCGGUAAGUCCGCUGUAAAAGUCAAAGGCUCAACCUUUGAAUGUCAGCGGAUACUGCCGGGCUAGAGUCCGGAAGAGGCGAGUGGAACUCCUGGUGUAGCGGUGGAAUGCGCAGAUAUCAGGAAGAACACCAAUGGCGAAGGCAGCUCGCUGGAACGGUACUGACGCUGAGGCGCGAAAGCGUGGGGAGCGAACAGG